CACGCUAGCGUGUGAUAAACAAAAGUGAUAUCAAAAUGGUUAAUACACUAACAUCAGGGAAUCUACAGCAUGUUUUAAUUAAACAACCUAAUUCUGUGCAAAUUCAUGAAUACCAUUCCUAUGGAGCCAAAGUCUCUCGUCUCUUUCUGAAAUGAAAAAGAUAGAAAAAUAAAUGUUAAGCAUCUUUCAAUAACAAUGGGCAUGUGCCACUGGAGGUUUUCUAUGGACAUUUCAUCCUAGUACAAAGUCAAGAAUCUACACUGCAUAACUCACAAGCUCCGACAACUUUGCCCCACCUAUUUCCUCAGAAAGUGUCUACAACUGAAUGUGUUGAACAUAGGAAAAUAGUCUCAAAUAUUUGUUUCCCUGUAAUGGUCCAGAAUGGCCUUUUGUUCCACUAUGAUCAAUGUAUUGAGUUCUUAUUGUUGAUGUACAUGGAUCAAGUCAAGGUAUGCCCCAGAGUUAUUAGUAUCCUUCCACUGACUUUCAGAAUGGAAGAAACCUGGAAAUGUAACUGAAAACUAAUCUGCAGAUAACUAUGACAGAAAACUAAUCUGCAGAUAACUAUGACAGUUACCGCCGUCCAUGUGCCCAAUGCCGGUUAUGGCUUCCAGGUCUCAUAUGUGGAUUCUUUUGUACAAGCCCCUGUUUAGGGAGAUCAUGUAACUCCAUGACUUGUAUCGUCCGCUGUCUCUUGGCAUUCUCAGCUUGCUGAUAUCGCUCCUGGAGUUUCCUUUUGGAGGCUUCCAGUUUCAUCUGGACAGCAAUUUCAUCCGAACACUUGAAUUUAUUUUGCUGACCACUUGGAGGCUUUCUUUGGCUGAUAGCCUUUUCUGUUUUUUGCAUUAUCUUUGAAUCAUUGUUUGCUUUUCGCUCAACACUUUGUUUUGGAGGUCUCCCAGGACAAGAAUCAGCAUUUGAGGGUCUAUUUGUCUUUAGGACAGCUUCUUGCCUCCUCAUUUGUUGACUCAUAUUGUCCUUGGCAACAACAAUUGCCUCAUUUGGAGUCUGCUGUUUUCGCUUUGUGAUAUUCUGAUUCUCCAUUGAAGGUUUUCUUCCAUUUUCACGGUUCUUGAUGAAUUCCCCACUGUUUCGAGGAUCUGAAACAACAUUCCCCUCUCAUAAUCAUGAAUCUAAAAAGUGGGGAAUUCAAAUAAAGAACCGAACAGAAAAAGCUAUCUACAAGAAGCAUAAGAGAUGGCAGAUUCAACUCACUUCCAAAGUCAUCCAUGCCAUCAAAGAACUUCACAUGAGGCAAUGAGAGCAACACCCAAAAAGUAUAACCAGUCAGCUCACUAUUCGAAUGUCCAGAAGCAAAUUUAUUAUCCCAAUUGAAUAAGAACUAAAAAGAAGAAGAUGCACACCUGUGAGAGCUCUAUCCCAGUAGUUUGUGGGGCAAAGAAAGCUCCUUCAUCUAAUGGAGGAGAUGGAAGGCCUUCCUCUUCAUCAACGACAGAGGGAUUCAUAGACUCAGGAGUACCUUCAUCACUUUGUAAGUUGCUACCUCCAAAAGCCUUUGUAGCACUAUACCACUCAUCCACCAAAACUUUCCAUCCAUCUAUAAGAGUUCGUGCAAGGUGACAAAUCUGCUUUGAACCAUGCUUCCGGAGGCUAUUGACAGCCUUUCCGAUCUCGGUUGCCUUAAGUGUAUCCACAGUCAGAGCCAUCAAUUGAAGCCUUCUUAACGAUUCAAACAACACAGAAUCAGACUCAUCUCUGCUGUUGAGAAGAAUGUCCUUGAUCCUCAAGACCUCACCAACUACCUGAGACUCUUCCUCAAUCUCAUCCGUCAACGCCUCAGCCUCUCCAUAACUAUAAUUACUUACCAAGUGAUCGUUCACAUUCACUUCUCCAUUAUCAAAAUCAUUAUCAUCCCUAUUGCUACUAAUGACCUUGCUCUCCUUGCUCCCUCCAGCCUCAAACUCACAUCCAUCAAUAUCAAUAUCUUCGUCAUCAUUAGCACCAUUACCACAACCACCAUCUCUUCUAUUGCAGCCUCCAUCAUCAUUCUCACCUUCAUGAGCGGGCACAGCCAGUUCAACCCGAUUGCAACCGGUGCACCGGGUCAAUCUGGAAGAAAACAAACGCUCAGCAAUUCGAUCUCUACGCAACCGGAACUCUUUGGGACAAUCUGAGGCUGCAACAAUGAUCGCAUGAUCGAUAAUACCAAAAAUAUCACAAUUUGCAGUACUAAAAUAGUUCCUCCAGUAAUCUAACGACAAGGGUUUCAUCAUGAUUUGACAACCCAGAUCGGUCGAGAUUCUCUUGUCGAUUAUGAGGUUUAAUUCAUAUGUGAAUAGGAAAAAUGAAUGUCAAAAAAUGUUAGCUGGGUGAUAAGAGAGAGAAAAUUAAGGGUUUGAAAUUCUUGAUUCCGAUAAAAAAUUUGAUGUUGAUAAUAUUUAUUGAAGGUUUUUCUUUUUCUUUUUCGUUACGUCAAGAUAAGAUAAUCAAGAUAUGACGGUGAAGGAAAAAAAAGAGAAUCAAUCCACUGUCCGACAGAGACAAUACGUUGGCUUAUUUUGGUUUCUAUUUUUCCGGAUUCAGAUAAAACUUUCCCGGAAAAUAAGCCCCCAGAAAAUUUCCUUGACAAGAAAACUACAAGAAACCUAUUUCACCCUCAUCUCCCUAUCCUCCUCUCUCUCUCUGUCUCAAUCUUUUUCUGUUUGGUUUCUACAAAAAAGCGGUAGCGGUGAUGUCUGCCUACACGAGCCAGACAAUUUUGCUGUUUUUUUCUUUAAACAAAUAACCAAAACUAAAAGCCAAUCACCUUGUAAGUAGGAGAUUGGGCUUUUUAUUCUUAUCACUGUCCGGUGAAAGAUUUU
This 2822-nucleotide unclassified non-coding RNA is filed under the name Hevea brasiliensis (rubber tree). Lineage: Eukaryota; Viridiplantae; Streptophyta; Magnoliopsida; Malpighiales; Euphorbiaceae. The record is from RNAcentral.